This 395-nucleotide RNase P RNA is filed under the name Bacteroidia bacterium. RNAcentral describes it as "RNase P RNA component class A". It matches the Rfam family "Bacterial RNase P class A". From Rfam's summary of the family: Ribonuclease P (RNase P) is a ubiquitous endoribonuclease, found in archaea, bacteria and eukarya as well as chloroplasts and mitochondria. Lineage: Bacteria; Pseudomonadati; Bacteroidota; Bacteroidia. The record is from RNAcentral.
ACUGCAAAACAGGCUACCGCAGGUAUGUAAAUACAUGAGGAAAGUCCGGGCAACACAGAGCACCAUACUUCCUAACGGGAAGGAUUUUGCAGCAAUGCAAAAGCCAGCCAGUGCCACAGAAAACAAACCGCCAUGCAGUAAUGCGUGGUAAGGGUGAAAAGGUGGGGUAAGAGCCCACCGCUUCGUUGGCGACAACGGAGGCAGGGUAAACCUUAUGGGUUGAAAGGUCAAAUAAAUUCUGAGUAUGGAGCUGCUCGCUCCUGUGGCUGUUUCGGCAGCUCCUCAGAAAGGGUAGACUGAUAGAACCCUGCAGUGAUGCAGGGUCCAGAUAAAUGGUAGCUAUACCCGCUUACAAGCGGAUGAAACAGAACCCGGCUUAUCGUUUUGCAACAAGA